UCCUUUAAGUUUUCCAAAGAGAACCAAAAACAUCCCUCUGUUAAAUAUUUCAUCUACUUUUAACAGAAUCUUUAUUACUCACGUGAGCCCUCCCUGUUUCUAUUCCCCCUUUUCUCACAAAAUCUUCUCUCCUUCCUUCUUUCAAGAAGAGAAACAUGACUUUUCUGGGAAGCUAGAGAAAAGGGUUUGUAAUGGUUAUAUUACUUAUUCUUCGGUGAAGCUUCUUCUUUUCAUUGGAAACACAGAGAUGGUGCUAUUACCGAUGAAGAUGGACAUAUGUGUUGCAUUUAAUGACUCUACGGCUUCAGGUAAAUCAACGGACAAGAAAAUGAAGAUCAAAAUUGCGACUACUAGUAUGACGGGUAGACAGGGAGGUGAUCCAGACUCAUCAGCAGGUUUACAGCAGCACUCCAUUAUUCCGGAGGUGCUUUUUGGUUUAUUCUUUUGUGUAUAUAUAUGUACGUAUUUUGGGCACGACGGGGUCCUGUCCCGUCCAUAUGUCUAGUACUCUAGUAGAGGCUCGUAGAUACGCAUGUGUGGGUAGUAUGGUCUCACGAUGCCCCUAUUGUAUAUAUAUUAUUUUGA
Lycium barbarum (goji berry) is the source of this 585-nucleotide long non-coding RNA. RefSeq lists it as uncharacterized. The transcript has 3 exons. The record is from RefSeq and is a predicted model, not a curated record. Lineage: Eukaryota; Viridiplantae; Streptophyta; Magnoliopsida; Solanales; Solanaceae.